Molecule: ribosomal RNA, 253 nt
Filed under: uncultured Nocardioidaceae bacterium
Lineage: Bacteria; Bacillati; Actinomycetota; Actinomycetes; Propionibacteriales; Nocardioidaceae
Description: partial 16S ribosomal RNA
Rfam family: Bacterial small subunit ribosomal RNA
Source: RNAcentral
UACGUAGGGUGCGAGCGUUGUCCGGAAUUAUUGGGCGUAAAGGGCUCGUAGGCGGUUUGUCGCGUCGGGAGUGAAAACCCAGGGCUUAACCCUGGGCCUGCUUCCGAUACGGGCAGACUAGAGGUAUGCAGGGGAGAACGGAAUUCCUGGUGUAGCGGUGAAAUGCGCAGAUAUCAGGAGGAACACCGGUGGCGAAGGCGGUUCUCUGGGCAUUACCUGACGCUGAGGAGCGAAAGCGUGGGGAGCAAACAGG